GCUGAUAUAGCUCAGUCGGUAGAGCACCUCAUUGGUAAUGAGGAGGUCAUCAGUUCGAAUCUGAUUAUCAGCUCCA
RNAcentral lists this transfer RNA (76 nucleotides) under Clostridia bacterium. RNAcentral describes it as "tRNA-Thr". It matches the Rfam family "tRNA". Rfam says of the family: Transfer RNA (tRNA) molecules are approximately 80 nucleotides in length. Lineage: Bacteria; Bacillati; Bacillota; Clostridia. The record is from RNAcentral. RNAcentral also lists the same sequence under 1 other name.